Molecule: ribosomal RNA, 468 nt
Filed under: uncultured bacterium
Lineage: Bacteria
Description: partial 16S ribosomal RNA
Rfam family: Bacterial small subunit ribosomal RNA
Source: RNAcentral
GACGAACGCUGGCGGCGUGCUUAACACAUGCAAGUCGAACGGAAAGGCCCUGCUUUUGUGGGGUGCUCGAGUGGCGAACGGGUGAGUAACACGUGAGUAACCUGCCCUUGACUUUGGGAUAACUUCAGGAAACUGGGGCUAAUACCGGAUAGGAGCUCCUGCUGCAUGGUGGGGGUUGGAAAGUUUCGGCGGUUGGUGAUGGACUCGCGGCUUAUCAGCUUGUUGGUGGGGUAGUGGCUUACCAAGGCUUUGACGGGUAGCCGGCCUGAGAGGGUGACCGGCCACAUUGGGACUGAGAUACGGCCCAGACUCCGACGGGAGGCAGCAGUGGGGAAUAUUGCACAAUGGGCGGAAGCCUGAUGCAGCAACGCCGCGUGCGGGAUGACGGCCUUCGGGUUGUAAACCGCUUUCGCCUGUGACGAAGCGUGAGUGACGGUAAUGGGUAAAGAAGCACCGGCUAACUACGUG